Long non-coding RNA from Boleophthalmus pectinirostris (great blue-spotted mudskipper), 266 nucleotides. RefSeq lists it as uncharacterized. The record is from RefSeq and is a predicted model, not a curated record. The transcript is spliced from 3 exons. Lineage: Eukaryota; Metazoa; Chordata; Actinopteri; Gobiiformes; Gobiidae.
GCUCCAUUGUGUUUUAAAACUCCGUACUUGAAUCAUUUGGAUAACUUCAUCCCUGGAAUUGCUCAUGUCUACUGAAAAAGUGUGUCAGGUCCUGGGAAUAGCGUCACCUCGGAGUAGCUGACGCCAAACAGAUGGCCCUCCUGUUCCUGCAACAAAACAUAUUACUUUUAAGUGAAGUUGGAAUUACCUGCGCCAAACCACCCCUAAAUGACAUCGCAAGGUGGAACAGAGCAUUUUGAGCUUUGGAGAUGUAAACGUAAACAGAC